Molecule: long non-coding RNA, 203 nt
Filed under: Lathyrus oleraceus (garden pea)
Lineage: Eukaryota; Viridiplantae; Streptophyta; Magnoliopsida; Fabales; Fabaceae
Description: Pisum sativum (pea) long non-coding RNA (PSAT_LNC006128)
Source: RNAcentral
AAAAUUCCGCAAACAGGUCAGAACACCAAAUGGGGUGCAAUCAAGAGUUGCACCAAAGCAGUAAUAGUAUCAGGUAAAUAAAGCAUGGUUAUAAUAAAACAGGUCAGAUGAGCAAAGAUCAAAACAGAACGAAAAACAGCGACUGUCAUGUUCGCUACUGCCUCGCCUAGCGAAGGCUUAGCGAGCACUCGCUACAUGUUCGC